AAGUCUUUAGUACGGCUCUAGGAUUGAAAAUCCUUAUGUUGGUGGUUCGAUUCCGCCCCGGGCCACCA
This 68-nucleotide transfer RNA is filed under the name Herbaspirillum seropedicae SmR1. Its description in RNAcentral is "tRNA-Phe (GAA) (tRNA-Phe-GAA-2-1)". Lineage: Bacteria; Pseudomonadati; Pseudomonadota; Betaproteobacteria; Burkholderiales; Oxalobacteraceae. The record is from RNAcentral.